This 496-nucleotide ribosomal RNA is filed under the name uncultured bacterium. Its description in RNAcentral is "partial 16S ribosomal RNA". It matches the Rfam family "Bacterial small subunit ribosomal RNA", at positions 28 to 506 of the family's 1533-position model. The record is from RNAcentral.
GACGAACGCUGGCGGCGUGCCUAAUACAUGCAAGUUGAGCGAUGAAGAUUGGUGCUUGCACCAAUUUGAAGAGCAGCGAACGGGUGAGUAACGCGUGGGGAAUCUGCCUUUGAGCGGGGGACAACAUUUGGAAACGAAUGCUAAUACCGCAUAAUAACUUUAAACAUAAGUUUUAAGUUUGAAAGAUGCAAUUGCAUCACUCAAAGAUGAUCCCGCGUUGUAUUAGCUAGUUGGUGAGGUAAAGGCUCACCAAGGCGAUGAUACAUAGCCGACCUGAGAGGGUGAUCGGCCACAUUGGGACUGAGACACGGCCCAAACUCCUACGGGAGGCAGCAGUAGGGAAUCUUCGGCAAUGGACGAAAGUCUGACCGAGCAACGCCGCGUGAGUGAAGAAGGUUUUCGGAUCGUAAAACUCUGUUGGUAGAGAAGAACGUUGGUGAGAGUGGAAAGCUCAUCAAGUGACGGGAACUACCCAGAAAAGGACGGCUAACUACGU